RNAcentral lists this non-coding RNA (102 nucleotides) under Clostridiales bacterium. RNAcentral describes it as "Guanine sequence". It matches the Rfam family "Purine riboswitch aptamer". Rfam says of the family: Riboswitches are metabolite binding domains within certain messenger RNAs that serve as precision sensors for their corresponding targets. Allosteric rearrangement of mRNA structure is mediated by ligand binding, and this results in modulation of gene expression. Lineage: Bacteria; Bacillati; Bacillota; Clostridia; Eubacteriales. The record is from RNAcentral.
CAAUAACAGCUAUUAUAGGCUCAUAUAAAUUCGGUAAUAAGGACCGAGAGUUUCUACCGCGCAACCGUAAAUUGUGUGACUAUGGGUGAUUUAUUGCAUUUA